This 746-nucleotide ribosomal RNA is filed under the name Saccamminidae sp. RNAcentral's name for it is "partial 18S ribosomal RNA". It matches the Rfam family "Eukaryotic small subunit ribosomal RNA", at positions 1384 to 1772 of the family's 1831-position model. Lineage: Eukaryota; Foraminifera; Astrorhizida; Saccamminidae. The record is from RNAcentral.
UACAUAACAUAAGAGGCUUUCAGAAAACUAGAGGGACCGCUGCGACUUUUUAAACCAGAGGAAGGUUGCGGCAAUAACAGGUCUGUGAUGCCCUUAGAUGUUCCGGGCUGCACACGUGCUACAAUGAUUAUUGCAGUGAGCAUCUCAUUUUAUUUUUUGUGCUUGUCUUGUCUUUUUGUAUAUUUUAUUAUAUAUAUAUUUGACGACAGCCUUAGCCUGCUUCGAAAGUUCGCAGGUAAUCAAUUGGAAGUAAUGAUUUCCCUUUUUCUUUUUUUAUUACAUUUAUUUUUUGUGAUUUCUUUAAUUAAGCGAGCACACAAUAUGCUGCUCUCUCGCCCUGUCUUUGUCUUUGAUUGUUUGUAUUCAUACAUCUUUUACAUGUACUUUGAUUGCGUUUUGUGGGAGUGUGCAUGUCUUUUUUUAUAUAUUAUUUUUAUAUCUUAUGCGUCUUAUAUUUAUAUAAUUCGUAUGCUAUAUAUAUUUAUAUUUAAAUCGCAUCUAUCAGCAUGUGCUUUUUGUUAAUUCAAGGUGGGGACAGACCCUUGUUAAUUGUUGGUCUCGUUUCAACUAGGAAUGCCUUGUACGGGUCUUUGGUUCAACAAACCACCCGGAAUACGUCCCUGCCCUUUGUACACACCGCCCGUCGCUCUUACCGAUGGACUUCUCUGUGAGUUUGAGGGACUGGGUUGUAUAUUAUUUUUUAUAUUUAUACAAACACCUAUGGAAACUUAAACGAACAGUGUGGU